Molecule: long non-coding RNA, 759 nt
Organism: Heterocephalus glaber (naked mole-rat)
Lineage: Eukaryota; Metazoa; Chordata; Mammalia; Rodentia; Bathyergidae
Source: Ensembl
GCCAAAAUAAACCUCUCCUAUUUAAGUUCUGUAUAUCAGAGGCUUACACCUAGGAUUUUGUCUUGAGUCUCAGAGAAAACUUUGGACUUGGACUUUUUAGCAAUGGUAGAAAUGUUAACUUUGCCAUUGUGCAUAACAAGAGACAUUUGGGCUUAGAUCUGUACUCAUGGUGAAUUGGACCCUUCAUAGGCAACAGAAGAUGCUUAUAUAUAACAUCAAAGUUUAAAGGAGCAGCCUACCCAGAGCAUCACUGUUUGGUGGGGACAAGACAGAAAAUGAGAGGGGCCAAGGAAUGAGAAAGUAUAAGAAGACUCUCUGAUGCAGUGAAAAAAGGCAUUAUUUAAGAUGGUGUUUCCCUUGUAUAGGGGACCCUAGAAGAUGUUAUAUACCAAGAAAACUCACUACACUGCCAGCCUUUAGAGAAGAAAUUGAAAAUACAUAUUCAGCAAUCUCAAUGACCAAAGUUACCCAAGCAGCAGUUGGUUAUACUAAUAAAUGUCUGGAAGAUAAUGGCCAUCACUUUGAGCACCUCUUGUAAUUGUAGAGGCCAAACAUAACUUGUAUCUCAUAAUACCUCAAUAAAUUUAGUAUUAAAAUAUUUAUAUGUUUUUAUUUUCCUUAAAUGUGUAUACAUGUUUUUGGCAGACUCUGUACAUAUAUAGAACCCUCCUGCCUUAAGAACUUCCUUGUUCCUGUCUGCCACACUAUGAACUGUUUCUCCUCUGCUAUGUCCAUCUGGCACAUUCCCCUGCCUUGGAG